Hordeum vulgare subsp. vulgare (domesticated barley) is the source of this 137-nucleotide non-coding RNA. Lineage: Eukaryota; Viridiplantae; Streptophyta; Magnoliopsida; Poales; Poaceae. The record is from Rfam.
UGUCUACUUUUCUCCGUCUCAAAAUUUUUGUCUUAGGUUUGUGUAGAAAUGAAUGUAUUUAAAUGCUAAAAUGUGACUAGAUACAUUCAUAUCUAGAUAAAUCUAAGACAAAAAUUUUAGGACGGAGGGAGUAUUAU